Manihot esculenta (cassava) is the source of this 632-nucleotide long non-coding RNA. RefSeq lists it as uncharacterized. Lineage: Eukaryota; Viridiplantae; Streptophyta; Magnoliopsida; Malpighiales; Euphorbiaceae. The record is from RefSeq and is a predicted model, not a curated record. The transcript has 2 exons.
UAUAAAAUUUAUUUUCAGUGAUUUCUACACCCAUCAAUCAUCUUGAAUGAAACAUAGCAUUUUCUUUUUAUUUGUUUUUAUCUAGAUCUGGGCUGUGCAAGAUUGAAAACCAACAAAUGAGGGACGAUGAAGCUUCUGGAACUCCUUCUCCUAUGUCGUUAGCGUCUUUUGAGAUGGUGUCUUUAUUAGAUCCACGUUGCAAUGAUUGGCAAUCCUAUCUUUUGAUGGCAAUAGUGCUCUCCUGUCCAGAGAGUUAUGGUUGGUUGUCUUAACUUUUUCUUCAAUUGAAGUUGCAAUUUACUUGAUGGUUUUCUCUAGAUUUUUCGUUGGUUUGUAAAGCCUAUUAGGCUAUUGUUAGAAUUUCUAUCAAGUUUAGAUGUUGUUUGAUGCUUUGCAUGGCCGACAAUUUCAGAAGGGGAAGAGCUUCAGUAAUGUGGAAUAUUUAUCAACUGGGUUUGAAGCUCUUUUUGGUUGCCUUUCCAGUCUAGGGUUCUUAGGGUUCAGAUUGCUGUUUUUUUUUUUUGUUGGGCCUUAGACUUUGCUGUUCUUGUAUUGGACUUUCAUGUACUUGGACCUUGGGCAUUUUUUUAAAUAAAUUUAUCUUAAAGAAAAAAAAAAGAACUUUGAUGAAA